This 2165-nucleotide ribosomal RNA is filed under the name Macrostylis roaldi. Its description in RNAcentral is "SSU rRNA". It matches the Rfam family "Eukaryotic small subunit ribosomal RNA". Lineage: Eukaryota; Metazoa; Arthropoda; Malacostraca; Isopoda; Macrostylidae. The record is from RNAcentral.
GUCAUAUGCUUGUCUCAAAGAUUAAGCCAUGCAUGUCUGAGUACAGACCGAUCUAAGGUGAAACCGCGAAUGGCUCAUUAAAUCAGUCGUAAUUUCUUGGAUAGUGAAAAACUUUCCUCGGAUAACUGUGGAAAAUCCAGAGCUAAUACGUGCAACUGAGCUCAGACCUCGGCGCGAGCCUUGGGAAGAGCGCAUUUAUUAGAUUCAAAACUGACCGGUGUACUCCUUCGGGAUAUGCCGUUUGUCAAAUGUUUGAUGACUCCGGAUAACUUAGCCGAGCGCUACGGUCUUUAGUACCGGCGCCGUAUCUUUCAAGUGUCUGCCUUAUCAGCUUUCGAUUGUAGGUUAAACGCCUACAAUGGCUGUAACGGGUAACGGGGAAUCAGGGUUCGAUUCCGGAGAGGGAGCCUGAGAAACGGCUACCACAUCUAAGGAAGGCAGCAGGCACGCAAAUUACCCACUCCCAGUCCGGGGAGGUAGUGACGAAAAAUAACGAUGCGAGACUCUUCCGAGGCCUCGCAAUCGGAAUGAGUCCAUCCUAAAUCUUUGGACGAGGAUCCAUUGGAGGGCAAGUCUGGUGCCAGCAGCCGCGGUAAUUCCAGCUCCAAUAGCGUAUAUUAAAGUUGCUGCGGUUAAAAAGCUCGUAGUUGGACUUUCUAGAUCCAUUUCGUGGAUGAGUCGCUCGAUGUACUAAUUACUUAAGUCGGUCGCUCGAUGAUGUCGCGUUUCGGCUCUUCGUCGUCUCCCUGCGUUGACGGUGAUGCGCGUCUACGUACGCGUAGCGCGUACCCGACUCGUUAGGUGUGACGUCGUUGUUGUCGUUUCUUGCUUCGGAAUCUUGAGGACGUUAAGUGUGCGGUCUUUGAGUAUAGCUCGUCCGCGUUUGGUACAAUUAAAUUUUUGUCGGCUCGCUCGGAGUGCUCUUUACCGAGUGUUCCAGGGUGGCCGACACGUUCACUUUGAAAAAAUUAGAGUGCUUAAAGGGGGCUUAUAUACGGCCGGAAUGUCUGUGCAUGGAAUGAAGUAACAGGACCUCGAUUCUGUUGUUUUUGUCGGUUUUAAUGAACCGAGGUAAUGAUUAAAAGGGACAGACGGUGGCAUUAGUAUUGCGGCGCUAGAGGUGAAAUUCUUGGACCGUCGCAAGACUAACUACUGCGAAAGCAUUUGCCGAGAAUGUUUUCAUUAAUCAAGAACGAAAGUUAGAGGAUCGAAGGCGAUCAGAUACCGCCCUAGUUCUNACCCUAAACUAUGCUAACUAGCGAUCCGCCGAAGUCAUUCCCACGACUCGGCGGGAAGCCCCAGGGRAAACAAAGUCUUUUGAGUUNCCGGGGGAAGUAUGGUUGCAAAGCUGAAACUUAAAGGAAUUGACGGAAGGGCACCACCAGGAGUGGAGCCUGCGGAUUAAUUUGACUCAACACGGGAAACCUCACCAGGCCCGGACAUCAUAAGGAUUGACAGAUUGAGAGCUCUUUCUCGAUUUGAUGGGUGGUGGUGCAUGGCCGUUCUUAGUUGGUGGAGUGAUCUGUCUGGUUGAUUCCGAUAACGAACGAGACUCUACCCUACUAACUAGUCGGCGGAUCGUAACCCUGAGAUGGUUAGUUUGUAUAGGAUUGUUUCGCCGAGACAAAGUUCUCUCGAUGAUGGGGAUUCCGAAGCGUUCGCGCGUUCGCUUUCGUCUGUAUUCGUACUUUCGUUUGCGUGUCGCGCGUGUCGUGUAAAGAGUUUCCCUGUCGAGUAGUAUCGAUGUCGAAGCUGCUUUCUGAUUACUACUACUACUGGGGGCGUCCGUCGCAAUAUAUCUUCUUAGAGGGAUCAGCGGCGUCUAGCCGCACGAGAAAGAGCAAUAACAGGUCUGUGAUGCCCUUAGAUGUUCUGGGCCGCACGCGCGCUACAAUGUAGGGAUCAGCGUGCGUCCCUUCUCCGAAAGGAGUGGGUAACCGGUUGAAUCCUCUACUUGAUUGGGAUUGGGGAUUGCAAAUAUUUCCCAUAAACGAGGAAUUCCCAGUAAGCGUGAGUCACUAACUCGCGCUGAUUACGUCCCUGCCCUUUGUACACACCGCCCGUCGCUACUACCGAUUGAAUGAUUCAGUGAGGGCAUCGGACUGUCGCCUUCGGUUUAGUAACAUAGAUCUUAGGCUGACGGAAAGAUGUCCGAACUUGAUCAU